RNAcentral lists this ribosomal RNA (440 nucleotides) under uncultured bacterium. Its description in RNAcentral is "partial 16S ribosomal RNA". It matches the Rfam family "Bacterial small subunit ribosomal RNA", at positions 338 to 795 of the family's 1533-position model. The record is from RNAcentral.
CCUACGGGUGGCAGCAGUGGGGAAUAUUGCUCAAUGGGGGCUACCCUGAAGCAGCGAAGUCGCGUGAAGGAUGAAGGCUCUAUGGGUUGUAAGCUCUUUUUAUAGGGGAGAAAAUUACGGUAUGUAACCAAUUUUCCACGGAUCAAUUCGUUCCAGCAGCCGCGGUAAUACGCAGGUGGCAAGCGUUAUCCGGAUUUACUGGGUGUAAGGGGAGUGUAGGCGGGUUGAUAAGUCAGUUGUGAAAUUCUGCGGCUUAACCGUAAAACUGCAGUUGAAACUGUUAAUCUUGAGUACGGGAGAGGUAGGUGGAAUUCGUGGUGUAGCGGUGAAAUGCGUAGAUAUCAGGAGGAACACCGAUUGCGAAGGCGGCCUGCUGGACUGUAACUGACGCUGAUGCGCGAAAGUGUGGGGAGCAAACAGGAUUAGAUACCCUAGUAGUC